RNAcentral lists this ribosomal RNA (516 nucleotides) under uncultured Pseudomonadota bacterium. RNAcentral's name for it is "bacterial SSU rRNA". It matches the Rfam family "Bacterial small subunit ribosomal RNA", at positions 355 to 890 of the family's 1533-position model. Lineage: Bacteria; Pseudomonadati; Pseudomonadota. The record is from RNAcentral.
UGGGGAAUAUUGGACAAUGGGCGAAAGCCUGAUCCAGCCAUGCCGCGUGAGUGAUGAAGGCCCUAGGGUUGUAAAGCUCUUUCACCGGUGAAGAUAAUGACGGUAACCGGAGAAGAAGCCCCGGCUAACUUCGUGCCAGCAGCCGCGGUAAUACGAAGGGGGCUAGCGUUGUUCGGAAUUACUGGGCGUAAAGCGCACGUAGGCGGACAUCUAAGUCAGGGGUGAAAUCCCGGGGCUCAACCCCGGAACUGCCUUUGAUACUGGGUGUCUCGAGUCCGGAAGAGGUGAGUGGAAUUCCGAGUGUAGAGGUGAAAUUCGUAGAUAUUCGGAGGAACACCAGUGGCGAAGGCGGCUCACUGGUCCGGUACUGACGCUGAGGUGCGAAGCGUGGGGAGCAAACAGGAUUAGAUACCCUGGUAGUCCACGCCGUAAACUAUGGAAGCUAGCCGUCGGCAAGUUUACUUGUCGGUGGCGCAGCUAACGCAUUAAGCUUCCCGCCUGGGGAGUACGGUCGAC